RNAcentral lists this ribosomal RNA (481 nucleotides) under uncultured bacterium. Its description in RNAcentral is "partial 16S ribosomal RNA". It matches the Rfam family "Bacterial small subunit ribosomal RNA", at positions 30 to 506 of the family's 1533-position model. The record is from RNAcentral.
AUUGAACGCUGGCGGCAUGCCUUACACAUGCAAGUCGAACGGUAACGGGCCUUCGGGUGCCGACGAGUGGCGAACGGGUGAGUAAUACAUCGGAACGUGCCCGAUCGUGGGGGAUAACGAGGCGAAAGCUUUGCUAAUACCGCAUACGAUCUACGGAUGAAAGCAGGGGACCGCAAGGCCUUGCGCGGACGGAGCGGCCGAUGGCAGAUUAGGUGGUUGGUGGGAUAAAAGCUUACCAAGCCGACGAUCUGUAGCUGGUCUGAGAGGAUGAUCAGCCACACGGGGCAUGAGCCCCGGCCCAGCCCCCUAGGGGAGGCAGGAGUGGGGAAUUUUGGCAAAGGGGCGCAACCCUGCCCCAGCCAGGCCGCGGGGAGGAUGAAGGCCUUCGGGUUGUAAACUUCUUUUGUACGGAACAAAAAGCCUUUUUUUAAUACAGGGGGGUCAUGGCGGUCCCGUAAGAAUAAGCCCCGGCUAAUUCCGU